Molecule: long non-coding RNA, 351 nt
Organism: Brachypodium distachyon (stiff brome)
Lineage: Eukaryota; Viridiplantae; Streptophyta; Magnoliopsida; Poales; Poaceae
Exons: 2
Source: RefSeq, a predicted model, not a curated record
UCUCGAGGCAGGAUCAAAACCUGCUCAAGGCACUCCCACAGCCACAAUCCGGUGUGAGUUUUCCUCUCUCCCUGUCUGGCUCGCUCAAUCUCCUUUCUUCCUCACUGCAGAGACCGUCCUCAUGGCCACAGAACCUUAUCGAUGCAAGACUCUGGUUCUCCGGGUGUCCAUCCACUGCGAGGGAUGCAAGAAGAAGGUGAAGAAAGCUCUGCAGAGCGUCGACGGUGUGUUUUUUUAAGGAAUUAAGAAUGAAUUUAACUUAUUUUUUAAGGAACGUCCACGGUGUGUUAUCAACUCUGUCUAUCUACCACCAUUUUUACUCCGUCUUUACUUGUCCGUUAUUUAUUUUUU